GCAGGCCUAAUACAUGCAAGUCGAACGCGAUUAAGGGGCUUGCUCCUUAUGAAAGUGGCGCACGGGUGCGUAACGCGUAUGCAACCUACCUUUAUCAGGGGGAUAGCCCGGAGAAAUCCGGAUUAACACCGCAUAAAAUCACAGGAUAGCAUUAUCCAAUGAUCAAAUAUUUAUAGGAUAAAGAUGGGCAUGCGUGUCAUUAGCUAGUUGGCGGGGUAACGGCCCACCAAGGCGACGAUGACUAGGGGAUCUGAGAGGAUGGCCCCCCACACUGGUACUGAGACACGGACCAGACUCCUACGGGAGGCAGCAGUAAGGAAUAUUGGUCAAUGGAGGCAACUCUGAACCAGCCAUGCCGCGUGCAGGAAGACUGCCCUAUGGGUUGUAAACUGCUUUUAUCCGGGAAUAAACCUACUUACGUGUAAGUAGCUGAAUGUACCGGAAGAAUAAGGAUCGGCUAACUCCGUGCCAGCAGCCGCGGUAAUACGGAGGAUCCAAGCGUUAUCCGGAUUUAUUGGGUUUAAAGGGUGCGUAGGCGGCCUGUUAAGUCAGGGGUGAAAGACGGUAGCUCAACUAUCGCAGUGCCCUUGAUACUGAUGGGCUUGAAUGGACUAGAGGUAGGCGGAAUGAGACAAGUAGCGGUGAAAUGCAUAGAUAUGUCUCAGAACACCGAUUGCGAAGGCAGCUUACUAUGGUCUUAUUGACGCUGAGGCACGAAAGCGUGGGGAUCAAACAGGAUUAGAUACCCUGGUAGUCCACGCCCUAAACGAUGAACACUCGCUGUUGGCGAUACACAGUCAGCGGCUAAGCGAAAGCGUUAAGUGUUCCACCUGGGGAGUACGCCCGCAAGGGUGAAACUCAAAGGAAUUGACGGGGGCCCGCACAAGCGGAGGAGCAUGUGGUUUAAUUCGAUGAUACGCGAGGAACCUUACCCGGGCUUGAAAGUUAGUGAAUGAUUUAGAGAUAGAUCAGUGAGCAAUCACACGAAACUAGGUGCUGCAUGGCUGUCGUCAGCUCGUGCCGUGAGGUGUUGGGUUAAGUCCCGCAACGAGCGCAACCCCUAUGUUUAGUUGCCAGCAUGUAAUGAUGGGGACUCUAAACAGACUGCCUGUGCAAACAGAGAGGAAGGAGGGGACGACGUCAAGUCAUCAUGGCCCUUACGUCCGGGGCUACACACGUGCUACAAUGGAUGGUACAGAGGGCAGCUACAUAGCAAUAUGAUGCGAAUCUCACAAAGCCAUUCACAGUUCGGAUUGGGGUCUGCAACUCGACCCCAUGAAGUUGGAUUCGCUAGUAAUCGCGUAUCAGCAAUGACGCGGUGAAUACGUUCCCGGGCCUUGUACACACCGCCCGUCAAGCCAUGGAAGCUGGGGGUACCUAAAGUAUGUAACCGCAAGGAGCGUCCUAGGGUAAAA
RNAcentral lists this ribosomal RNA (1415 nucleotides) under Pedobacter wanjuense. RNAcentral describes it as "bacterial SSU rRNA". It matches the Rfam family "Bacterial small subunit ribosomal RNA". The record is from RNAcentral. Lineage: Bacteria; Pseudomonadati; Bacteroidota; Sphingobacteriia; Sphingobacteriales; Sphingobacteriaceae.